GUCCCUGUGGUGCACACAGUUAAUACACUCGGCUGCUAACUGAAAGGUUGGAGGUUCGAGUCCACCCAGAGGCA
RNAcentral lists this transfer RNA (74 nucleotides) under Loxodonta africana (African savanna elephant). It matches the Rfam family "tRNA". Rfam says of the family: Transfer RNA (tRNA) molecules are approximately 80 nucleotides in length. Lineage: Eukaryota; Metazoa; Chordata; Mammalia; Proboscidea; Elephantidae. The record is from Rfam by way of RNAcentral.